Molecule: ribosomal RNA, 468 nt
Filed under: uncultured bacterium
Lineage: Bacteria
Description: partial 16S ribosomal RNA
Rfam family: Bacterial small subunit ribosomal RNA
Source: RNAcentral
GACGAACGCUGGCGGCGUGCUUAACACAUGCAAGUCGAACGGAAAGGCCCUGCUUUUGUGGGGUGCUCGAGUGGCGAACGGGUGAGUAACACGUGAGUAACCUGCCCUUGACUUUGGGAUAACUUCAGGAAACUGGGGCUAAUACCGGAUAGGAGCUCCUGCUGCAUGGUGGGGGUUGGAAAGUUUCGGCGGUUGGGGAUGGACUGGCGGCUUAUCAGCUUGUUGGUGGGGUAGUGGCUUACCAAGGCUUUGACGGGUAGCCGGCCUGAGAGGGUGACCGGCGACAUUGGGACUGAGAUACGGCCCAGACGGCUACGGGAGGCAGCAGUGGGGAAUAUUGCGCAAUGGGCGGAAGUCUGAUGCAGCAACGCCGCGUGCGGGAUGACGGCCUUCGGGUUGUAAACCGCUUUCGCCUGUGACGAAGCGUGAGUGACGGUAAUGGGUAAAGAAGCACCGGCUAACUACGUG